AAGUCGUAACGAGGUUUCCGUAGGUGAACCUGCGGAAGGAUCAUUAGUGAAUAUAGGACGUCCAACUUAACUUGGAGUCCGAACUCUCACUUUCUAACCCUGUCGCAUUGUUUGGGCAUUAUGGUAAGCAUCUCGCAAGAGGGCGAACUCCUAUUCACUUAUAAACACAAAGUCUAUGAAUGUAUUAAAUUUUAUAACAAAAUAAAA
RNAcentral lists this unclassified non-coding RNA (207 nucleotides) under plant metagenome. RNAcentral describes it as "partial contains small subunit ribosomal RNA and internal transcribed spacer 1". The stretch from base 1 to 46 matches the Rfam family "Eukaryotic small subunit ribosomal RNA", at positions 1786 to 1831 of the family's 1831-position model. The record is from RNAcentral.